RNAcentral lists this ribosomal RNA (290 nucleotides) under uncultured bacterium. RNAcentral describes it as "partial 16S ribosomal RNA". It matches the Rfam family "Bacterial small subunit ribosomal RNA", at positions 773 to 1060 of the family's 1533-position model. The record is from RNAcentral.
GUGGAUUAGAUACCCUGGUAGUCCACGCCCUAAACGAUGUCGACUGGUUGUUGGGGGUUUGACACUCUCAGUAACGAAGCUAACGCGUGAAGUCGACCGCCUGGGGAGUACGGCCGCAAGGUUAAAACUCAAAGGAAUUGACGGGGACCCGCACAAGCGGUGGAUUAUGUGGAUUAAUUCGAUGCAACGCGAAAAACCUUACCUACCCUUGACAUGUCCUGAAGCCUGGAGAGAUCCGGGUGUGCCCGAAAGGGAACGGGAACACAGGUGCUGCAUGGUCGUCGACAACU